RNAcentral lists this long non-coding RNA (3702 nucleotides) under Sus scrofa (pig). RNAcentral describes it as "lncRNA (ENSSSCG00005036959.1)". Lineage: Eukaryota; Metazoa; Chordata; Mammalia; Artiodactyla; Suidae. The record is from RNAcentral.
CCGGUGGCUACAGCUCUGUUUAGACCCCUAGCCUGGGAACCUCCAUAUGCCAUGGGUGCUGCCCUAGAAAAGACAAAAGAAAAAAAGAAAAAAAGCCUCCCAACAGCAUCAUGCAUGGAAGGGUGGAAAUGCACUGACUCCUAAAUGGUGUUUCCUAACUAAUUUCUGCUGCAACGCCAGCCUUCUCCUUUUAGCUUGAGGAUGAUUUCAUCCGAUAAACAUGUGGCUUCAAAUUAUGGCCUUAUAUAAACGAAGCAGCUAUACUACACUUUCUGGAGGCCCCCGGCCGCCUUAUUUUCCGAUCAAUUCCGAAUUGUUCCCUAAGCUAAUAGGCAGAACCUGGCUUUUUCGUGCUGGAGGUCUUGGCCAGGCCUUGGGAGUGGCUUAUUCACUUUUAUCCACUUGCCCCCAGCACUGAAUUUUUGGUGGCCUCCCCCUCUUCCCCACACCUUCUUUCUCUGAGAGCAAGAGAGAAAGGCCCUGAAUCAAGGUUCAUGUCUCAAAGGGCGGCAAGGAUACCAGUGUGGUGUUUACAAAAAGCCUUUUAAUGUUUCACUGUUCAGAUUUUUCAUUGGGAAUUCUUUUCAUUGUGCACAGAAGAUUGGCUGUUAGUAACAUGGAGUAAAUUCACAAUGAUGUGCGACCACCACCUCUGUCUAGUUCUGAAACAUUUCCAGUACUCCAGAAGGAGACCCUGUGUCCAUAAGCUGUCACUCCCUACCCCCUCACCCAGCUCCUGCAGCCGCUCAUCUGCUUUUUGUCUCUGUGGAUUUGCCUGCCUCCGGACCUUUUAUAUCAAUGGGAUCAUACUUCAUAUAUGGCUUCUGUAACUCAGCAUGAUGUUUUGGAGGUUUGUCCACAUUGUAGCAUGUGUCAGGGCCUCACACUUUUUUAUGACUGAGUAAUAUUCCACCAUGUAGAUGGAUCACAUGUUGUUUAUCUACUCAUCCUUUUUUUUUUCUUUUGUAUAGCCACACCUGUGGCACAUGGAAGUUCCUGGGCCAGGGGUAGAAUCAGAGCUGCAGCUGCCAGCCUACACCACAGCUACAGCAAUGCCAGAUCCGAGCUGCAUCUGCAGCAUACGCCACAGCUUGCAGCAAGGGGGGCGAUCCUAACCCACUGAGCAAGGCCAGGGACUGAACCUGUAUCCUCAUAGGUACUAGUUGGGUUCUUAACCUCUGAGCCACAGUGGGAACUCCUAUCUACUCAUCCUUUGAUGAGCGUUUUGUUUCCACCAUUUUGGCUCUUUCAUUCAGGAAUUUUAUAGUCUGCCAGUUUUAUUUCCGUUUAGUGAUGAGGGCAUAGUUCUCCUGUGAACUCUGGGUAGACAGAUUCUCUCGGUUUAGGGAUGGGUUUUGCUUCCUGUUCACAGUGUGCGUGUUUCCCUGAGCAUUAGUCAGAAGGCAGAACAGGCAUUUAACUUCAGGGCAUUUGGAGAGGCGGUUUGGCUCCAGCACAGACACACAGGUUUUCAGUACCUGCUGCCGUCAAGACAGGGCUACAGCCAGGACCUUAAGCCACAGCGUGACUGGCUUCCAGGUCUCAGGUUCUGUUAGGAUUCGGUGAGAAAGGCGUGCUUGGAAAGCCAGAGAAAACAGCUGAGCCCCUCCAAAAGAAAUGUCACUCUUUAAGGUCAUCCCUUAAGCUGUGGUAAUCACAGCAGCAUGGCACCGCAUAGGUAUCAGCAGCGCAGAGGCAGACCCGUGUGUGUGUGUGUGUGUGUGUGUGUGUGUGUGUGUGUGUGUGUGUGUGUGAUGUAAUGGAUGAUUUUUAACAAAGGAGGCUCCCUGGUCUGGGCAGAGAUGGAGACUUUAAUAAGAAACAUUAUGAGGAGUUCCCAUUGUGGCUCGGUAGGUUAAGAACCGGACUAACGUCUGAUGAUGUGGGUUCGAUCCCAGGCCUCGCUCAGUGGGCUAAGGAUCUGACAUUGCCUCCAGCUGCAGUGUAGGUAACAACUGCAGCUCAGAUCCACGUUGCUGCAGCUGCAGUGUAGGCCAGCAGCUUCAGCUCCAAUUUGACCCCUAGCCUAGGAACUUCCAUAUGUCACUGUGAAGCCAUAAAAAACAAAAAAAUAAAAAACAUGGAGUUCCCGCUAUUGGGCAGCAGUUAAUGAACCCAACUCAGAUCCAAGAGGAUGCAGGUUCAAUCCCUGGCCACACCCAGUAGGUCAAGGAUCUGGCGUUGCCGUGAGCCAUGGUGUAGGACACAGACAUGGCUAGGAUCCUGCAUUGCUGUGGCUGUGGUGUAGGCGGGCAGCUGUAGCUCAGAUUCAACCCCUAGCCUGGGAACUUCCAUAUGCCAAGAGUGCAGCCCUAAAAAGCAAAAAUAAAUAAAUAAGUAAAUAAUUUUUAAAAACUACAAACACAGAAGUGUCCGUUGUGGCUCAGCAGGUUAAGAACCCGACAUAGUGUCUGUGAGGAUGCAGGUUUGAUUCCAGGCCUCGCUUAGGGUGUUAAGGACCCAGUGUUGCCUCAAGCUAUGGCGUAGGUGGAAGAUGUGGCUCAGAUCUGGUGUUGGUGUGGCUGUGGCGCAGGCUGGCAGCUGCAGCUCUUAUUCAACCUAUAGGCCACAGGUGUAGCAGUUUACAAAAAAAAUUACAAACAAAAAACCAUUAAAACAAUUGAUUCACUCUUUGGAGACCAUCUGGAUCAUCUUCUCUGUUUUUUGGCUGCACUUGCGGCCUGUGGAAGUUCCCUGCGAAGGACUGAACCCACAACAGCCAUAGCCUGAGCCACAGCUGUGACAAUCCUGGAUCCUUAACCCACUAAGCCACUAGGAAACUCCUAGAUCCUCCUUUCACUUUCCACGCUGUACUGGGUCGACAAGUGUCCCUUGAAGUUCAUGUCUGCUCAGAACUUUAGAGUGUGACCUUGAUUGGAAGUAAGGUCUUUGCAGAUGUGAUUAAAGGUCUCAAAGCGACUUCAUCCUGAAUCCAAUAACUGGUGUCUUUAUACGAGGAAGAGAGGACACAGAGACAGUGAACGCUACCAUGUGCUGUUGGGAAAGGAAAUCAGAGGGGUGUACAUCUACAAGCCAAGGAGCAGUGAGGGUCCCCCAAAGCUGGAGAGGCACGAGACCCUGUCUCCCUCCGAGCCUCUGAAGGGAGCCAUCCCCACCCCCACCUUGAGUUUGCAUUCAUCCUGAAACCCGAGACAGUGUAUUUCUCUUGUUUUAAGCCACCUGGUUUGUGGUACUUUGUUAGAGCAGCCCUAGCAAACUCUUACCCCCCCCACCCCCGCCAGUAUAACUUCCAGAUGGAUAAAAGCUUAAAUGUAAGAAGUCCAGGGAGGGAGAGGAGUGCAGAAGGUGAUUCCAUGUUCAUCAGAUCUGGGAGAGGAGUGGGCGGCAGACAUCAUGAAAUGACCCACAGAUCCAGCUGCUGGGGAAUACAGUAUUUGUAUCCAAAAACACCAUACUUAGAAGUAAAUUGGGGAGUUCCCGUCGUGGAGCAGUGGAAACAACCUGACUAAGAACCAUGCGGGUUUGAUCCCUGCCCUCGCUCAGUGGGUUAAGGAUCCGGUGUUGCCGUGAGCUGUGGUAUAGGUCACAGAUGCGGCUCGCAUCCCAUGUUUAUGUGGCUCUGGCGUAGGCUGGCGGCUACAGCUCCAGUUCUACCCCUAGUCUGGGAAUCUUUAUAUGCCGCGGGUGUGACCCUAAAAGGACAAAAGACAAAAGACAAAAAAAAGUAAAAAUAAAAAAAAA